RNAcentral lists this long non-coding RNA (1005 nucleotides) under Equus caballus (horse). RNAcentral describes it as "lncRNA (ENSECAG00000050703.1)". The record is from RNAcentral. Lineage: Eukaryota; Metazoa; Chordata; Mammalia; Perissodactyla; Equidae.
GGAUCGUUAAGACCGUUGCGCAUGCUGUCCGUCACAAUGCUAACAAAAGAGGGGGAGAUGAAGGAGACCUGGCAUGAAAUGUGGUUGUGCUUGCACGCGAGGCAUCCACAAGACUGGCUGGACUUUUCUGCAAACAGAAUGUUCUGCCUGGUGAACUCACAAGGCCCCAGGGAAAACAUUGCUUGCAAACAAGGAUGUUUUAUCAGUUCCUCAAAAGGAACAAGCCUGGGGCCUUGGGAGUUUGAAACAUUAUGAAGGAACCUGUUAUAAACAGAUGUGUAAGGGAAAGGUCAUUAUUGUGGGAUGCUUGCGCAGGCUUAGGUGGCUGACUCACUGCUUUGGCAAAAGGCGGGCUUUGUUUAGAGGCUAUAAGAAUAAAGAGCUCGAGGAACUCGAGGAGACUACACAGCAACCAGUGUUCGUGUUUUCAUUUUGUUGGCGGCAUCUGGCAUCCAACGUGGGGCCCAACGAAACUGAAAGGUCUUCCGGCGCUGGAGAAAACAACAACAACUAAAAAGGAUCGUUAAGACCGUUGCGCAUGCUGUCCGUCACAAUGCUAACAAAAGAGGGGGAGAUGAAGGAGACCUGGCAUGAAAUGUGGUUGUGCUUGCACGCGAGGCAUCCACAAGACUGGCUGGACUUUUCUGCAAACAGAAUGUUCUGCCUGGUGAACUCACAAGGCCCCAGGGAAAACAUUGCUUGCAAACAAGGAUGUUUUAUCAGUUCCUCAAAAGGAACAAGCCUGGGGCCUUGGGAGUUUGAAACAUUAUGAAGGAACCUGUUAUAAACAGAUGUGUAAGGGAAAGGUCAUUAUUGUGGGAUGCUUGCGCAGGCUUAGGUGGCUGACUCACUGCUUUGGCAAAAGGCUGGCUUUGUUUAGAGGCUAUAAGAAUAAAGAGCUCGAGGAACUCGAGGAGACUACACAGCAACCAGUGUUCGUGUUUUCAUUUUGUCGGCAGCACUUAUGUUUAACUUUUUAAUGUUUUGAGCUAAUUUUUUUUGGGG